UUCGCAAUGCCCGAAAGGGUGACGAAGCGACGCCGCGUGUGGGAUGAAGGCCCUCGGGUUGUAAACCACUGUCGGGAGUUAAGAAUUGUAGGAAUACUAAUAGUAUUUCUACUUGACUAAGGCUCCGGAGGAAGCCACGGCUAACUCUGUGCCAGCAGCCGCGGUAAUACAGAGGCGGCAAGCGUUGUUCGGAAUUAUUGGGCGUAAAGAGCAUGUAGGCGGCUAUGUAAGUCGGUUGUGAAAGCCUUCCGCUUAACGGAAGAAUGGCGGUCGAAACUGCAUGGCUUGAGUGCGGGAGGGGAGAGUGGAACUUCUGGUGGAGCGGUGAAAUGCGUAGAUAUCAGAAGGAACGUCGGCGGCGAAAGCGACUCUCUAGACCGUAACUGACGCUGAGUGUGCGAAAGCUAGGGGAGCAAACGGGAUUAGAUACCCCGGUAGUCCUAGCCGUAAACGAUGGGCACUAAGUAGAGGGGUUUU
This 477-nucleotide ribosomal RNA is filed under the name anammox bacterium enrichment culture clone EAA8. RNAcentral's name for it is "bacterial SSU rRNA". It matches the Rfam family "Bacterial small subunit ribosomal RNA", at positions 365 to 832 of the family's 1533-position model. The record is from RNAcentral.